GUAGGAUAGAAAUAAAUUAUAUUAGUUGAAAGUUAAAGGAGGUGGUUAGGAGAAUGAUUGGUUUUAUAGGUAGAAUUUGUUAAAUUGAUUGUUUCUUAAGAUAGGGAAUUGAAGCUUUGAAAGUUAAAGUUGAAACUAGGAUUAGAUACCCUAUUAUUUUAAUUGUGAAGAAGUGAACUUGAGUAGUAGUAGUUAAGAACUUGAAACUCAAAGAAUUUGGCGGUGUCUUAGUCUUUUCAGAGGAAUCUGUCCUAUAAUUGAUAUUACACGUUAAAUGUUACUUAAUUUGGUAUAGCCAAUUUGUAUACCGCCGUCAUAAGAUCAUCUUUUCAGAGAAAGAAUUUUCUUAAUAUUAUAGGAUAAUAUGUCAGGUCAAGGUGCAGUUUAUAAUUAAGGAGGAGAUGGAUUACAAUAAAUUUAUUUAAAUGGAUUUCUUACUGAGAUGUAGGGAUGAAGGUGGAUUUGAAGGUAAUUUUGUUAAAUUAUGAUAAAAUGAUUUAAGCUCUAGGGCAUGUACACAUCGCCCGUCACUCUCGUUAUUAAGAUGAGAUAAGUCGUAACAUAGUAGUCGUACUGGAAAGUGUGGCUAGGAAGUCAA
This 598-nucleotide ribosomal RNA is filed under the name Poecilimon martinae martinae. Its description in RNAcentral is "partial 12S ribosomal RNA". The stretch from base 181 to 589 matches the Rfam family "Microsporidia small subunit ribosomal RNA", at positions 752 to 1303 of the family's 1311-position model. The record is from RNAcentral. Lineage: Eukaryota; Metazoa; Arthropoda; Insecta; Orthoptera; Tettigoniidae.